This 303-nucleotide ribosomal RNA is filed under the name Scarabaeus deludens. RNAcentral describes it as "eukaryotic LSU rRNA". It matches the Rfam family "Eukaryotic large subunit ribosomal RNA", at positions 700 to 964 of the family's 3401-position model. The record is from RNAcentral. Lineage: Eukaryota; Metazoa; Arthropoda; Insecta; Coleoptera; Scarabaeidae.
ACUCUACUAAACCAAAAGGCGCAAUGAAAGUAAAGGUCCGCCCCGCGCGGACCGAGGGAGGACUCGCCCGUCCGUCCGCGGACGGGCGCAGCACUCCCGGGGCGUCUCGUUCUCAUCGCGAGAAGAGGCGCACCCAGAGCGUACACGCUGGGACCCGAAAGAUGGUGAACUAUGCCUGGUCAGGACGAAGUCAGGGGAAACCCUGAUGGAGGUCCGUAGCGAUUCUGACGUGCAAAUCGAUCGUCGGAACUGGGUAUAGGGGCGAAAGACUAAUCGAACCUUCUAGUAGCUGGUUCCUUCCGA